This 1092-nucleotide long non-coding RNA is filed under the name Coturnix japonica (Japanese quail). Its description in RNAcentral is "lncRNA (ENSCJPG00005012404.1)". The record is from RNAcentral. Lineage: Eukaryota; Metazoa; Chordata; Aves; Galliformes; Phasianidae.
UCUUGCCUAAGUAGUUUGCAUAAAGUUCGUUCUUCCUCGGUGUCUUUUGGUCUCCCCCGAAACAGAGUUGGUUGGUCAAGUUGAUCUCUUGUUUGAAAUUCAAUCAAGGGCAUUAAAGUGUAAACCAGUUGGAAAAACAAAGAGCUUAGGGAAAUCAUUUGCUUAAACAACAACAAACAAGCACUGGUAAUCUUCUUAGAGAAAUUAAUGAAGGGAAAACCCCCUCAGCCUGGGUGGAUAAUGAUCCUUAGCUAUCAUGUAACAAGCCUAGAAGGUUUAGGGAGAAGGUGAAAAUUAAGCAAGCUGGAUUAAAGUGAACUUUCAGAGGAACAAAAAGAAAUUCGGGAUAAAGAUCAGUUCUCCCGAGUUGAGAUUGAAAAAGUAGUUCUGAACUGGAAGGAGCUUAAUCCUUUAUGUAAAUCUGGGGUAGAGGCCUUUCCUGGUCUUUUUUCCCUUGUUUUGCUGAGUCCUGAUGAACCCAAAUGCUGCCUGUUGGUGUUGAGAUAAGGAGAGCCACCCAUGCGGACCCAGGUGCUGUAGCCUCUCUUUUCUAAGACGGCACUCGACUGGGCAGUGAAGCACGGCAAUCUUGAGAUGGCAGAGAUGGUCGCCAAAGCAGGCGUCGAUGUCAAUGCUAAAUCGAGCCACUAUGAAGCAGCCAGUCUGGGGGAAGCAGCUGAUGUGUAAUUCCGUAGCAGCCUUUGUGCCAUUCUAUCUCAAACCUCAUCCUUGGUGGAAGCUGGUAAUGCCGAAUACAGGAGGAGCUCCCUCAGCUCUGCGCUGGAGCACAGCAGCUCCUCAAGGGCCAGCCUGCAGCAGAGGAGCCAAACCUUGGCCUUUCAGCACAUGGUCCCUGCAGCCUGUGUCCCGUUGAUGCCCCAGCAACCCAACAGCCCACAGUGAUCCAACAUCCUGCACUCCCAGUUCCUUUUCAUUCCACUGUGCAGCCGUAGGCAAGCCGUUGCUGGGCAUCUUCAUGACUAGAUGGUGUGACUCCACGCUGGCACAGCGCCCUCCAUUUCCCAUGGAAGGUGAGUUUCUAACUGUGCUUGUGCUUUAGGUGAGCCCUUUUAAGCAAACAUACAUGGCCUU